GGACUAGAUCAACCGGGAGAUCGUCUGCUUUGCAUGUAGGGCCGCGGGUUCGCGUCCCGGCAGGUCUACCA
Molecule: transfer RNA, 71 nt
Filed under: Acidobacteriota bacterium
Lineage: Bacteria; Pseudomonadati; Acidobacteriota
Also listed under: 1 other name
Description: Acidobacteria bacterium tRNA-Ala
Source: RNAcentral